This 107-nucleotide small nucleolar RNA is filed under the name Gossypium hirsutum (cotton). RNAcentral's name for it is "Plant small nucleolar RNA R71". It matches the Rfam family "Plant small nucleolar RNA R71". Rfam says of the family: R71 is a member of the C/D box family of snoRNAs containing the C (UGAUGA) and D (CUGA) box motifs. The record is from Rfam by way of RNAcentral. Lineage: Eukaryota; Viridiplantae; Streptophyta; Magnoliopsida; Malvales; Malvaceae.
AUCCCAUGGUGAGGGAAAUUUCACAAUAACUCCUUGAAUUACUCCAAUGUCUCAUACAGAGAUUCGUCAUCAAGUUGUUGGAAUGCAGUGACCUCAUUUUAAAGCUU